This 121-nucleotide ribosomal RNA is filed under the name Rhipiliopsis peltata. Lineage: Eukaryota; Viridiplantae; Chlorophyta; Ulvophyceae; Bryopsidales; Halimedaceae. The record is from RNAcentral.
UGAAAUACUUCAAUAAUACCGCAUUGUCGGUAUUGCCUUUUCGAAUUUGAAAGUUAAACAAUCUAGGGGUUCGGAUUACUAUAAGGGCUGCUUUAUGGGAAACCUGACCUGAUGCUAGAAG